UACGUAGGGGGCGAGCGUUGUCCGGAUUUAUUGGGCGUAAAGGGCACGUAGGCGGUCACGAAAGUUGGCGGUGGAAUCGCCCGGCUUAACUGGGCGGGGUCGGCCAAAACUCCGUGACUGGAGGGCAGGAGAGGAAGACGGAAUUCCCCGAGUAGUGGUGAAAUGCGUAGAGACGGGGAGGAACACCGGUGGCGAAAGCGGUCUUCUGGGCUGUCCCUGACGCUGAGGUGCGAAGGCGUGGGGAGCAAAC
RNAcentral lists this ribosomal RNA (250 nucleotides) under uncultured bacterium. Its description in RNAcentral is "partial 16S ribosomal RNA". It matches the Rfam family "Bacterial small subunit ribosomal RNA", at positions 524 to 773 of the family's 1533-position model. The record is from RNAcentral.